CUGCGCAGCCGGGGAGUUAGCGGUGCCCUGAACCUGCAAUCCGCUAUAGCAGGGGUGAUGCCAAUCUGAGGCUCGUCUUUUUGUGGAGCUGCCCUUUAUAAGUGGCGUUGACGUUUGGGUCUUACGCAAUAGGUCUCUGUGAACCGUGUCAGAUCAGGAAUGAAGCAGCACUAAGCAGAAUCGCCUGUGUGCCGUGAGGGUGCCUGGACUGAGUUAACUGUAGAGGUAACGUCCAUGGGAGCUUGUCGAAGUGCGGCGCGCAA
Non-coding RNA from Blautia hydrogenotrophica CAG:147, 263 nucleotides. It matches the Rfam family "Bacterial large signal recognition particle RNA". From Rfam's summary of the family: The signal recognition particle (SRP) is a universally conserved ribonucleoprotein involved in the co-translational targeting of proteins to membranes. Archaeal SRP consists of a 7S RNA and homologues of the eukaryotic SRP19 and SRP54 proteins. NCBI's taxonomy places the organism in Bacteria, Bacillati, Bacillota, Clostridia, Lachnospirales, Lachnospiraceae. The record is from Rfam.